CAGUAGCCACGGUAAUACAGAGGGUGCGAGCGUUAAUCGGAUUUACUGGGCGUAAAGCGUGCGUAGGCGGCUAAUUGAGUCGGAUGUGAAAUCCCCGAGCUUAACUUGGGAAUUGCAUUCGAUACUGGUUAGCUAGAGUGUGGGAGAGGAUGGUAGAAUUCCAGGUGUAGCGGUGAAAUGCGUAGAGAUCUGGAGGAAUACCGAUGGCGAAGGCAGCCAUCUGGCCUAAUACUGACGCUGAGGUACGAAAGCAUGGGGAGCAAACAGGAUUAGAUACCCCCGUAGUCCCUGUCUCUUAUAC
Molecule: ribosomal RNA, 301 nt
Filed under: uncultured bacterium
Lineage: Bacteria
Description: partial 16S ribosomal RNA
Rfam family: Bacterial small subunit ribosomal RNA
Source: RNAcentral